CAGAAACGGCUCCUUCUUCUCCUCCUCCCCUGUUCAUACUCUUGUGAUUUUAUACUUUCUUUAUCAUCAUCGCUGGUCAGUCGAUCGACUUGAAUUCCUCCUUUCUCUAGUUCUACAUCUUCCAACAAAGAGAAACUGUGACAAGAUCUAUGAUACAACGAAGUUUGAUGGAUGCAUUCACAUACUCGUUAUUUUUGCAUUACCCUAUACAUCGAUGGGGGUUGAAUGAAAAUGAGUUUCUAUCAAAGAAGAGAAAGUUGAUCUGUCGUCUCUACCAGGUUUUGUCUUACUUAUAUAUGUCACUCUAAAGAAGAUGGAUAAAGGUGAAGUUUUGAUGGUAAUAUGGUCUCUGCGGGUGCAAAUGAGUGUCUGAGGCUUAAGAGAUCUCUUAGGUACAUACCAUGGGUACACUACAGUAAAUUAGGUGAUAGCUCGGAUGAGGAAUCUACAGAUCGACAACCUCAUCAGGUUCAUCCUUGUACUGAAAGUUCGAAAAAUCUAACUGGACUUCACAUUAUGAAAUUCACUAUAAUCACAUAUUUGUGGUCUGAAUAUUUUUGUUAUUUAUUGUCAACAUCUUCCUCCGAGGCCGUGCCUUCCUAGAGGUGUUCUUUGUGGGUGUUUUAAGUGUACUAAUUGCGAAAAGGUCACAUCAAAGUGGCGUCCAGAAGAUGCACAAAGGAGUUUAACGAUACAUUUAAAUAUAUAGACAACAUACGUUCAAAAGCAGAGCCAUAUAGAAUUUGCAGAAUAGUUCCUUCCUCUUCAUGGAGACCUCACUACCCUCUUAAAGAAAACAGUGCAUGAGAGACUCAACUGACUAGGAAGAUACAACUACAUUCGGUUUGCACCCAGAGGUCAUGGAAACGUCCAUAUGGUGUUGGUAUGCUUGUUGCAGGGUUGGAUGAAUCAGGAGCACACCUCUACUACAAUUUCCCAAAUGGGAACUACUUCGAAUACCAGGCCUUUGCUAUUGGGGCUCGUUCACAAUCUGCUAAAACUUGUUUGGAACGCGAAUUUGAGUCCUUCGCCAACUCUACCCGUGAUGAUCUGAUCAAAUAUGCACUCUUUGCAAUCAAGGAAACUUUACAAGGAGAGAAGCUAACAAGCUCAAUCUGCACUGUUGAUGUUGUUAGUCUUGAAGAGGAUUUCCACAUUUUGGAUCAGAAAACUAUGCAAGAGUUUAUCGAGUUGUUAGAGAUAAGGGAAGAGGCGUCCGUACAAGAAGAAGUAGAAGUGCCUCCUCCAGCUCCAAUGGACAUUGGAGAUCUGUAAGAGAAGCGGUUGCAUUGCUUUGAUUAUACAGAAAUGUUUAUAGGUAGAAACUGAACUCAGGAUGACAUUAUUAGUAAUGGAGAACAUCUUUGUUCAAUGCACACUUAAUGUCUCUUUCUUUGUUCAAUGCUUAAUUGAUGUCUCUUUCAGUGAAUUCUUGGCCUGAAUUUUUGGCCUGAAAA
Molecule: long non-coding RNA, 1457 nt
Organism: Papaver somniferum (opium poppy)
Lineage: Eukaryota; Viridiplantae; Streptophyta; Magnoliopsida; Ranunculales; Papaveraceae
Exons: 6
Source: RefSeq, a predicted model, not a curated record